This 252-nucleotide ribosomal RNA is filed under the name uncultured bacterium. RNAcentral's name for it is "partial 16S ribosomal RNA". It matches the Rfam family "Bacterial small subunit ribosomal RNA", at positions 524 to 776 of the family's 1533-position model. The record is from RNAcentral.
UACGGAGGAUGCGAGCGUUAUCCGGAUUUAUUGGGUUUACAGGGUGCGUAGGCGGGUUAUCAAGUCAGCGGUAAAAUCGUGGAGCUCAACUCCAUCCAGCCGUUGAAACUGAUGAUCUUGAGUGGGCGAGAAGUAUGCGGAAUGCGUGGUGUAGCGGUGAAAUGCAUAGAUAUCACGCAGAACUCCGAUUGCGAAGGCAGCAUACCGGCGCCCGACUGACGCUGAAGCACGAAAGCGUGGGUAUCGAACAGG